GAUGAACGCUGGCGGCGUGCCUAAUACAUGCAAGUCGAGCGAACGGACGAGAAGCUUGCUUUUCUGAUGUUAGCGGCGGACGGGUGAGUAACACGUGGAUAACCUACCUAUAAGACUGGGAUAACUUCGGGAAACCGGAGCUAAUACCGGAUAAUAUUUUGAACCGCAUGGUUCAAAAGUGAAAGACGGUCUUGCUGUCACUUAUAGAUGGAUCCGCGCUGCAUUAGCUAGUUGGUAAGGUAACGGCUUACCAAGGCAACGAUGCAUAGCCGACCUGAGAGGGUGAUCGGCCACACUGGAACCGAGACACGGUCCAGACUCCUACGGGAGGCAGCAGUAGGGAAUCUUCCGCAAAGGGCGAAAGCCUGACGGAGCAACGCCGCGUGAGUGAUGAAGGUCUUCGGAUCGUAAAACUCUGUUAUUAGGGAAGAACAUAUGUGUAAGUAACUGUGCACAUCUUGACGGUACCUAAUCAGAAAGCCACGGCUAACUACGUG
This 497-nucleotide ribosomal RNA is filed under the name uncultured bacterium. RNAcentral's name for it is "partial 16S ribosomal RNA". It matches the Rfam family "Bacterial small subunit ribosomal RNA", at positions 28 to 507 of the family's 1533-position model. The record is from RNAcentral.